GAGAGAGAGAGAGAGAGAGAGAGAGAGAGAGGAGUUGGGUGUCCGAGGGAGGAGCUUUCAAUAUAGGAAGAAAGAGCACUUCAGAAACACCCUGCUGUCAAAUUAAUAACUGACAUAGAAUCUGUUGUGGAACUGUACAAUCCAAUAGUGUAGUAAAGUAACUUUAACAGAAAAGUAACAAUGAUAGUAAAGUAACUAACAGUAUAGUAACUGUGGAAGUAAAGUAACUUUAACAGUAUAGUAACUGUGGUAGUAAAGUAACUUUAACAGUAUAGUAAACUGUGAUAGUAAAGUAACUUUAACAGCAUAAUACCUGUGAUAGUAAAGUAACUUUAACACCAUAGUGACUGAGGAGUAACUGACCAGAAUGAAGAUACUCCAUGUUGUCUUCUGCUGUCUCCUCUCAGGUGAGGUCUGUCUGUCUGUCUGUCUGUCUGUCUGUCUGUCUGUCUGUCUGUCUGUCUGUCUGUCUGUCUGUCUGUCUGUCUGUCUGUCUGUCUGUCUGUAUCAGUUUUCAUAAUACUGUCUGGGUCAUAUAGUACAUAAGGAAUAAGAUAUGUAUUUGUCUAUAAGGAGCCAGAAAGUUUUACAGUUCUGAGUUUGUUUUUCACAUGUACCUUAUGAUAAUGUUCUGAACUCCAAAUAUUUGAUAUUUUGGUCUUUUACCUGGGUUUGUGCAGGGUUAAAGUAAGAUUUGAGUAGGGUUACAGUUAGGUUUCAGCAGGGUUAAAGUAAGAUUUGAGCAGGGUUAAAGUAAGACUUGAGUAGGGUUACAGUUAGGUUUUAGCAGGGUUAAAGUAAGACUUGAGCAGGGUUCAAGUAAGAUUUACCUAGGAUUAAAGUUAGAUUUGAGCAGGGUUCAAGUAAGAUUUGAGCAGGAUUAAAGUUAGAUUUGAGCAGGGUAAAAGUAUGAUUUACCCAGGAUUAAAGUUAGAUUUGAGCAGGGUUCAAGUAAGAAUUACCCAGGAUUAAAGUUAGAUUUGAGCAGGGUUAAAGUAAGAUUUACCCAGGAUUAAAGUUAGAUUUGAGCAGGGUUCAUGUUAGAUUUGAGCAGGGUUAAAGUUGGAUUUGAGCAGGGUUCAAGUUAGAUUUGAGCAGGGUUAAAGUUAGAUUUGAGCAGGGUUAAAGUUAGAUUUGAGCAGGGUUCAAGUAAGAAUUACCCAGGAUUAAAGUUAGAUUUGAGCAGGGUUGAAGUAAGAUUUACCCAGGAUUAAAGUUAGAUUUGAGCAGGGUUAAAGUAAGAUUUACCCAGGAUUAAAGUUAGAUUUGAGCAGGGUUCAUGUUAGAUUUGAGCAGGGUUCAAGUUAGAUUUGAGCAGGGUUAAAGUUAGAUUUGAGCAGGGUUAAAGUUAGAUUUGAGCAGGGUUAAAGUUAGAUUUGAGCAGGGUUAAAGUUAGAUUUGAGCAGGGUUCAUGUUAGAUUUGAGCAGGGUUAAAGUUAGAUUUGAGCAGGGUUCAAGUUAGAUUUGUGCAGGGUUAAAGUUAGAUUUUGAGCAGGGUUAAAGUUAGAUUUGAGCAGGGUUAAAGUUAGAUUUGAGCAGGGUUAAAGUUAGAUUUGAGCAGGGUUAAAGUUAGAUUUGAGCAGGUUAAAGUUAGAUUUGAGCAGGGUUAAAGUAAGAUUUGAGCUGGGUUAAAGUUAGAUUUGAGCAGGGUUAAAGUAAAAUUUGAGCUGGGUUAAAGUUAGAUUUGAGCAGGGUUAAAGUAAAAUUUGAGCAGUUUUAAAGUAUAUCUCACAGGUCAACAGUUGUGACUGUACUGUGUGUUUCUGUUUGACAGCUCUGUGUGUUGUGGAGUCAGCUGUCAUUAAGGAAGUGGUAGGAGGACAAUUCACUGUGGGCUGCUCAUUCACUUGGGCAGGGACCAACAAUAAAUACUUCUGCAAGGGGAGAUGUUCUAGUAAAGACAUUCUGGUUGCAACUAAGAGGAGCAAGACUGUAACUCAAGAUAGAUACAGUAUAGAAGACAAGGGAAAUGUAUUCUAUGUGACAAUCAAGGACCUGAGGAAGUCAGACUCAGGGACCUACUGGUGUGGAGUGGGGAGAUAUGGCCUAGACUCAUACCAAGAGGUGCAUCUCACAGUUACAGAUGGUAAGUUUACUCUCAAUAGAUAUUGGUAUCUAGUAUUUAUUAAUUAUGGAGAGGCUUCCUGACUUAUUUCCUGACAUGAAGUUGUUUCAGUAGUGGUGUUUAUCUGUACUUUCUAUUGACUCACAGCUCCUCCCACUUCUACACCGUCACCACUCACCUCCAGACCCCAUGUCUCCACAACCCUCCCAAACCUCUCUGCAACAUUAUCUAACAUCUCCACGUUUAUGGCAUCUGGAGACAUCAGUGGUCACUCUUCAUCAAGAGCAGGUAUGAUGCAUCUCUCAUCUUAGACAUUACAAGUACAUCUCUCUCUCUCUCUCUCUCAAUUCAAUUCAAUUCAAUUCAAUUCAAUUCAAAGGGCUUUAUUGACAUGGGAAACAUAUGUUUAUGUUGCCAAAUCAAGUGAAAUAGAUAAUGAACUAAAGUGAAAUAAACAAUCAAAAAUAAACAUUUCCCUCCCCAAAGUUCCAAAGGAAUAGAGACAUUUCAAAUGUCAUAUUCUCUGACCUCUUUAGAUUCUUCUCCAUUCUCGUGGAGCAGGACAGAGUCAUGUCUAUUGAUUUCAGUGGUGGCUGAAGUGUCAGAAGAAAGAAGUCAGAUUUAGCUAACAAAUCAUUUACAUCUGUCCAAGGGAAGAUUUGAGGCAAUGUUGAUGUGUCUCUCAGAGGCCCACAGGAAGUGAUGCAACAUUUGAGGUUUUGUGGAGAGCUGCUGCUGACACUAUGGCCUCUGUUGCUAUGGUGACUAUGAUCACUAUCUUAAUCAGUCUCUUUAUCACACCUUUAUUAUCCAUCUUCUCUGUCUCUAUGUAUAUCUGUCUGUCUGUCUAUCUGUCUGUCUGUUUUUGUCUGUAUGUCUGUUUUUGUCUGUAUGUCUAUCUGCGUUUAUGUCUGGAUGUUUCUGUCUGUCUGUCUGUCUCUCUCUUUGCCUGUCUGUCUGUCUGUCUGUUUUUGUCUGUAUGUCUAUCUGCGUUUAUGUCUGGAUGUGUCUGUCUGUCUGUCUCUUUGUCUGUCUGUCUGUGUAUUUGUCUGUAUGUCUAUCUGCAUGUUUCUGUCUGUCUGUCUGUCUGUCUGUCUUUGUCUGUCUGUCUGUUUUUGUCUGUAUGUCUGUUUUUGUCUGUAUGUCUAUCUGCGUUUCUGUCUGUCUGUCUGUCUGUCUGUGUAUUUGUCUGUAUGUCUAUCUGCGUUUAUGUCUGUAUGUUUCUGUCUGUCUGUCUGUUUUUGUCUGUAUGUCUGUUUUUUUCUGUAUGUCUAUCUGCGUUUAUGUCUGGAUGUGCCUGUCUGUAUGUCUGUCUGUCUGUCUGUCUGUCUGCCUCUGUCUGUAUGUCUGUCUGUCUCUUUGCCUGUCUGUCUGCUCUCUCUCUCUCUCUCUUUGUCUGUCUGUCUUUGUCUGUAUGUCUGUUGUCUGUAUGUCUAUCUGCGUUUCUGUCUGUCUGUCUGUCUGUGUAUUUGUCUGUAUGUCUAUCUGCGUUUAUGUCUGUAUGUUUCUGUCUGUCUGUCUGUCUGUUUUUGUCUGUAUGUCUGUUUUUGUCUGUAUGUCUAUCUGCGUUUCUGGUCAGGUCUGAUGGUAUCUGUGAUAUAUACAGUACUCUGUAAAGUCUCUCCUCCUGUCUGUGGUCAGGUCUGAUGGUAUCUAUGAUAUAUACAGUACUCUGUAAAGUCUCUCCUCCUGUCUGUGGUCAGGUCUGAUGGUAUCUAUGAUAUAUACAGUACUCUGUAAAGUCUCUCCUCCUGUCUGUGGUCAGGUCUGAUGGUAUCUAUGAUAUAUACAGUACUCUGUAAAGUCU
Molecule: long non-coding RNA, 3872 nt
Filed under: Salmo salar (Atlantic salmon)
Lineage: Eukaryota; Metazoa; Chordata; Actinopteri; Salmoniformes; Salmonidae
Description: lncRNA (ENSSSAG00000094796.1)
Source: RNAcentral